GCAGCCGCCGCGGGAUCCGGCCGCUCCCGGCCUCUCCGCCCGCUGUGGGAAGCCAUCGCUGAGGCCGGCAACCGCGGGAGUCACUGGGGAGCUGUCUUCCAAGAAGAAACAUUAUUUUUCCCGUCUUACCUGUGUGGUUGGGUCUUUGGUUCAUUGGCAUAAUCUCCAUUAAAAGAAGUGUCAGGUAAAAAGUGGCUGCCAAAUAACAUUAUGGGAGAGAAUGUAAAGAAAAAUCUUGUCAGCAGAAACAACCACAUCAGGAGGACAGUCAAAACCCCUUAAAUUAACCAAAGCAGUGAUAAACAGAGCACUAUAUUUAGCAUCAUUCUCAGAUCCAUACUACCUGGCACGGAAUUUUGAAGGUGUUGGAAUAACAAGGUAUAGAAUUCUACUUAAGAAAAAAGAAUGCAUCGGUGUUUCUUCAGUGGGAUGGCGUUUCUCUUUGCAGGUCAGAUUGUCCCUUCAGUGUAUUUGAUUGCAACACAGAGAACACUUUUAAGAACACAAUCUUUAAUUUCACUUCUUUUGAGGCCCUUUUAUUCUACACAGUUCGCCAUGCACAAUGGAGGAAGCGAAGCUGAAGGAAAAUACUUCCUCUUGGGCCCUGCAAGAUUCACCUUUGUGAAUUUUAUCCUGAUAUAUUUUUUUAAAAUAUAAAUGUAUUUCAAAUUUUACUGAUUAAGCAGACUGUUUCACUUGGUAAUGUUAUAUUCUACGUUGGUGUCUAGAUCCUGUCAAAAUUGCCUUUAUUUACGAAUAUGUACCUUUUCUUGUUUCUAUAAACAUCUUUUCAGAGUUGACAAUUUUUUUUAAAAUGUGGUAUGGUAGUCUUGAAAAACAAUGGUUUUUCUCAUAUUAUGUGUUUUAUGUGUUCUCACUAAUAUCCAGUAUUCAAGAAUGU
Non-coding RNA from Thamnophis sirtalis, 901 nucleotides. The record is from RefSeq and is a predicted model, not a curated record. NCBI's taxonomy places the organism in Eukaryota, Metazoa, Chordata, Lepidosauria, Squamata, Natricidae.